UACUGUCUCUUGCUUCCAAUCAGUGAAAUUGACCUUCCCGUGAAGAGGCGGGAAUACAUUAAUAAGACGAGAAGACCCUAUGGAGCUUUAACUACUUGACCCAAAGAAAUAAAUUUCAUCGCUAAGGAAACAACAACACUCUUCAUGGGCCAACAGCUUUGGUUGGGGUGACCUCGGAGAACAAGAAAUCCUCCGAGCGAUUUUAAAGACUAGACCUACAAGUCGAAUCACACAAUCGUUUAUUGAUCCAAAAAAUUGAUCAACGGAACAAGUUACCCUAGGGAUAACAGCGCAAUCCUAUUCAAGAGUCCAUAUCGACAAUAGGGUUUACGACCUCGAUGUUGGAUCAGGACAUCCCGAUGGUGCAACCGCUAUCAAAGGUUCGUUUGUUCAACGAUUAAAGUCCUACGUGA
RNAcentral lists this ribosomal RNA (413 nucleotides) under Axis axis (chital). RNAcentral describes it as "partial 16S ribosomal RNA". It matches the Rfam family "Bacterial large subunit ribosomal RNA", at positions 2014 to 2603 of the family's 2925-position model. The record is from RNAcentral. Lineage: Eukaryota; Metazoa; Chordata; Mammalia; Artiodactyla; Cervidae.